UCCCUGAUAGCUCAGUUGGUAAAGAAUCUACUUGCAAUGCAGGAGACUCAGGUUCGAUUCCUGGGUCGGGAA
Molecule: non-coding RNA, 72 nt
Organism: Bos taurus (domestic cattle)
Lineage: Eukaryota; Metazoa; Chordata; Mammalia; Artiodactyla; Bovidae
Source: Rfam